RNAcentral lists this transfer RNA (74 nucleotides) under Thermoleophilia bacterium. Its description in RNAcentral is "tRNA-Gly". It matches the Rfam family "tRNA". Rfam says of the family: Transfer RNA (tRNA) molecules are approximately 80 nucleotides in length. Their secondary structure includes four short double-helical elements and three loops (D, anti-codon, and T loops). Further hydrogen bonds mediate the characteristic L-shaped molecular structure. tRNAs have two regions of fundamental functional importance: the anti-codon, which is responsible for specific mRNA codon recognition, and the 3' end, to which the tRNAs corresponding amino acid is attached (by aminoacyl-tRNA synthetases). tRNAs cope with the degeneracy of the genetic code in two manners: having more than one tRNA (with a specific anti-codon) for a particular amino acid; and 'wobble' base-pairing, i.e. permitting non-standard base-pairing at the 3rd anti-codon position. RNAcentral also lists the same sequence under 3 other names. Lineage: Bacteria; Bacillati; Actinomycetota; Thermoleophilia. The record is from RNAcentral.
GCGGGUGUAGCUCAGUUGGCUAGAGCGUCUGCUUGCCAUGCAGAAGGUCGUGGGUUCGAGUCCCAUCACCCGCU